GGGGAAUAUUGCACAAUGGGCGGAAGCCUGAUGCAGCGACGCCGCGUGAGGGAUGACGGCCUUCGGGUUGUAAACCUCUUUCAGUAGGGAAGAAGCGAGAGUGACGGUACCUGCAGAAGAAGCGCCGGCUAACUACGUGCCAGCAGCCGCGGUAAUACGUAGGGCGCAAGCGUUGUCCGGAAUUAUUGGGCGUAAAGAGCUCGUAGGCGGUUUGUCGCGUCUGCUGUGAAAGCCCGGGGCUCAACCCCGGGUCUGCAGUGGGUACGGGCAGACUAGAGUGCAGUAGGGGAGACUGGAAUUCCUGGUGUAGCGGUGAAAUGCGCAGAUAUCAGGAGGAACACCGAUGGCGAAGGCAGGUCUCUGGGCUGUUACUGACGCUGAGGAGCGAAAGCAUGGGGAGCGAAC
This 405-nucleotide ribosomal RNA is filed under the name uncultured bacterium. Its description in RNAcentral is "bacterial SSU rRNA". It matches the Rfam family "Bacterial small subunit ribosomal RNA", at positions 356 to 773 of the family's 1533-position model. The record is from RNAcentral.